AGAGUUUGAUCCUGGCUCAGGAUGAACGCUAGCGGCAGGCUUAACACAUGCAAGUCGAGGGGCAGCGCGGGAUAGCAAUAUUCUGGCGGCGACCGGCGGAAGGGUGCGUAACGCGUGAGCGACAUGCCCGUUGCCCGGGGACAACCGGUGGAAACGCCGACUAAUCCCCGAUGGGAUACGAUGCUUCAUGGCAUUGUAUUGAAAGUUACGGCGGCGACGGAUUGGCUCGCGUCCGAUUAGCUUGUUGGCGGGGUAACGGCCCACCAAGGCUACGAUCGGUAGGGGUUCUGAGAGGAAGGCCCCCCACAAUGGGACUGAGACACGGCCCAUACUCCUACGGGAGGCAGCAGUGAGGAAUAUUGGUCAAUGGGCGGAAGCCUGAACCAGCCAUGCCGCGUGCGGGAAGGAGGCCCUAUGGGCUGUGAACCGCUUUUGCCUGGGGGCAAUAAGGGCGUCGCGCACGUCCGAUGAGAGUACCAGGCGAAUAAGCAUCGGCUAACUCCGUGCCAGCAGCCGCGGUAAUACGGGGGAUGCGAGCGUUAUCCGGAUUCAUUGGGUUUAAAGGGUGCGUAGGCUGUGCGUCAAGUCGGGGGUGAAAUUCCGGUGCUCAACUCCGGGGCUGCCCUUGAUACUGUCGCGCUGGAGUGCGGAUGCCGCCGGAGGAAUGAGUGGUGUAGCGGUGAAAUGCUUAGAUAUCACUCAGAACACCGAUUGCGAAGGCAUCUGGCGAAUCCGUAACUGACGCUGAGGCACGAAAGCGUGGGGAUAGAACAGGAUUAGAUACCCUGGUAUUCCACGCCGUAAACGAU
RNAcentral lists this ribosomal RNA (809 nucleotides) under uncultured bacterium. RNAcentral describes it as "bacterial SSU rRNA". It matches the Rfam family "Bacterial small subunit ribosomal RNA", at positions 8 to 810 of the family's 1533-position model. The record is from RNAcentral.